This 497-nucleotide ribosomal RNA is filed under the name uncultured bacterium. RNAcentral describes it as "partial 16S ribosomal RNA". It matches the Rfam family "Bacterial small subunit ribosomal RNA", at positions 28 to 507 of the family's 1533-position model. The record is from RNAcentral.
GAUGAACGCUGGCGGCGUGCCUAAUACAUGCAAGUCGAGCGGACAGACGAUGAGCUUGCUCCUCUGACGUUAGCGGCGGACGGGAGUGUAACACGUGGAUAACCCCCCUAUAUGACUGGGAUAACCUCGGGACACCGGAGCUAACACCGUAUAAUCUCUUGAACCGCAUGGUUCAAUAGUAAAAGACGGCUUUGCUGUCACUUCUCGCUGGAUCUCCGCCUCAUUAGAUAGUUGGUAAGGUAACGGCUUACCAAGGCGACUAGGCGUAGACGACCUGAUAGAGUGAUAGCCGACAUGGGAGGUGGAACACGGACCAGACUCCUACGGGACGCAGCAGAAGGGAAUCGGACGCAAUGGGCGAAAGCAUGACGGAACAACGCCGCGUGAGUGAUAAAGGUCUUCGGAUCGGAAAACUGUGUUAUGAGGGGAGAACAAAUGUGUAAGUAAAUAAGCACGGCGUGACGGUACCGAAUCAGAAAGCCACGGCUAACUACGUG